GACGAACGCUGGCGGCGUGCCUAAUACAUGCAAGUCGAACGCACAGUUUAUACCGUAGCUUGCUACACCAUAAACUGUGAGUUGCGAAAGGGUGAGUAACGCGUAGGUAACCUGCCGGGUAGCGGGGGGUAACUAGUGGAAACGAUAGCUAAUACCGCAUAAUAUUAAUUAUUGCAUGAUAAUUGAUUGAAAGAUGCAAUUGCAUCACUACCAGAUGGACCUGCGUUGUAUUAGUUAGUAGGUGAGGUAACGCCGCACCUAGGCGACGAUACAUAGCCGAACGGAGAGGGUGAUCGGCCGCACUGGGACUGAGACACGGCCCAUAGGCCUACGGGAGGCAGCAGUAGGGAAUCGUCAGCAAUGGACGAGAGUCUGACCGAGCAACGCCGCGGGAGUGAGGAAGAUUUUCGGAUCGUAAAGCUCUGUUGUAAGAGAGGAACGGGUGUGAGAGUGUAAAGUUCACACUGUGACGGUAACUUACCAGAAAGCGACGGCUAACUACGUG
Molecule: ribosomal RNA, 505 nt
Filed under: uncultured bacterium
Lineage: Bacteria
Description: partial 16S ribosomal RNA
Rfam family: Bacterial small subunit ribosomal RNA
Source: RNAcentral